UAGCUGGGGAAGGAUGACCUCCAUACUUAAUGAUUCAUCUGGCGGAGCAUCCAUGGGGGCAUCAACGCAUUGGGGGAUGGCCGAGCAUGAGCGUCGUCAUCAUCGUCUCCUCUUGCCUGCAGGUGUGUGCGCAUUUUGUAAAGAAGUUCACCCCUCCUUUCAUUGUUUCCUUAUUUGGAAUUGAUGAAAUUUUCUUUCUGCUGUUAAAAAAAAGAUGUGGUGUUCAGAGAGAGAGAGAGAGAGAGAGAGAGAGCAUACCCAAUUGUUAGAGAAUGUAAUGUUGGAGGCGGAGGAGGUAGCGGUGGUUGGGGCAACGUUAAGGCAGAUGAAUUUUGAGUUUGUUGUUCCCAUUGCGCUUGCUCAGCCAUUGCCUUCUCACUUUCCUUGAGCUGUUUCCAAUAUCACAAGACAUAAAUUGACAUUUCAUUCGUUCAUUCAUUGUAGUCUCUUUUGAUCAUCAAAGACAUUAUUCAAGUUUGAAACACAGUGCAGUGACUUCAAAUAAUGAAAGCGCUCUCUUUACCUUGUUUGCUAAAACAUGUUUUUCCUCUCCCUUGCGCUCAGUGGACCAUGUGCUAAUGUUUUGUCCAUUGGUGUGGAGGCUCUGGUCACAAAUGGUCAGUUGGUGGGAUCAAUCCUCGGUAAUUACUGGAUCAAUAGAGGACCUUCUUCUUUGGUGGUCAGGUGGCAAAUUGAAGAGCUGGGUUUUCAAAAUGUGGAAGAUAGCUCCUUUAGUCAUGCUGUGGUCAGUUUGGAAGAUGAGAAAUGAGUGUCUCUUCAAGGUGGCCCAAACCAAUUUUGAAGUUUUAUGUGCAAAGGUGAAGGUGCAGAUUGCUUUUUGGACUAAAGUGAAUAUGGAGGUAGAUUAUUCAAUUCAUGAUAUUGUUUCUAAUCUCCAUCAGAUAAGAUUUUCUUCUUGAGGAUCCAGGCUGGUGUUUGGAAGUGGUUGGGGCUCUCCAAAUUGGUGUGAUAGGAAGGGCUCCAUGCAUAUCGGUUUCUCAUUUGGCUUGUAUCAGCAACGCCUCUUGUUUCUAUUUUGGCUUUGGUUUCUCACCAAACCCCCCAGGAUAGUGCUAGCAAAUGAUUGAGUUCCUUUCUCGGUGUCAACCUGAUUGGGAUUGAGUUGGUAUUUUGUGAUGCUUUUCGCACUUCCUUCUUUUAUUGAUGUAUCUCCAUAUGUUUAAUCCAUCAAUAAAAUUUUCUUUCGGCUGAUCAAAAAAAAAAAAAAUAAAAAAAA
Non-coding RNA from Camellia sinensis, 1237 nucleotides. Lineage: Eukaryota; Viridiplantae; Streptophyta; Magnoliopsida; Ericales; Theaceae. The record is from RefSeq and is a predicted model, not a curated record.